CCUACGGGAGGUAGCAGUGGGGAAUAUUGGUCAAUGGAGGAAACUCUGAACCAGCAAAGCCGCGUGAAUGAUGAAGGUCUUCGGAGUGUAAAGCUCUUUUCUAAGGGAAGAAGAUAGAGACGGUAACGUAGGACUAAGCAUCGGCUAACUACGUGCCAGCAGCCGCGGUAAGACGUAGGAGGCAAGCGUUAUCCGGAAUGACUGGGCGUAAAGGGUGCGGAGGUGGUUUGGCAAGUUAGUAGCGUAACCCCGGGGCUCAACCUCGGAACUACCACUGACACUGGCGGACGUGAGUGCAGGAGUGGCAAUUGGAAUUCCUAGUGUAGCGGUGGAAUGCGUAGAUAUUAGGAGGAACACCAGUGGCGAAGGCGGAUUGCUGGACUGUAACUGACACUGAGGCACGAAAGCGUGGGUAUCAAACAGGAUUAGAUACCCUAGUAGUC
Molecule: ribosomal RNA, 443 nt
Filed under: uncultured bacterium
Lineage: Bacteria
Description: partial 16S ribosomal RNA
Rfam family: Bacterial small subunit ribosomal RNA
Source: RNAcentral